Molecule: ribosomal RNA, 584 nt
Filed under: Phyllachora truncatispora
Lineage: Eukaryota; Fungi; Ascomycota; Sordariomycetes; Phyllachorales; Phyllachoraceae
Description: eukaryotic LSU rRNA
Rfam family: 5.8S ribosomal RNA (bases 201-356)
Source: RNAcentral
UAAGUAAAAGUCGUAACAAGGUCUCCGUUGGUGAACCAGCGGAGGGAUCAUUAACGACUCACGCAGGCCCCCCGGAGGGCCGAAGCCUGCGAUGCCCGUGCGAACCAAAGCUCUUGUUGCCUCGGGGCCCCCGGGGCCCCGCAGGCCCCUCCCGAACUCUCCUCUGUACCGGACGCUCCGGGACCCUACGAACCAGCCACAACUCCCGGCAACGGAUCUCUUGGCUCCGGCAACGAUGAAGGACGCAGCGAAAUGCGAUACGUAGUGCGAAUUGCAGAUCUCCGCGAGCCAUCGAACCUCUGAACGCACAUGGCGCCCGCCGGACCCUCCCGGCGGGCACGCCCGUCCGAGCGUCGGUUUCUCCCCUCCCCCCGGGCCCUGCCUGGGUGCUGGGACCCCACAGCCGCUGUGGGGCCCCGAAACGCAGAGGCGGCCGCCCCGCAGGCACCUGGCGAAGCAAGAACAAACUGCGCCUCGGCCGCGCGGCCGGCCCGCCACGUGCACACUACCAGACGGCCUCGGAUCGGGCGGGACGACCCGCUGAACUUAAGCAUAUCAGUAAGCGGAGGAAAAGAAACCAACCA